Molecule: ribosomal RNA, 468 nt
Filed under: uncultured bacterium
Lineage: Bacteria
Description: partial 16S ribosomal RNA
Rfam family: Bacterial small subunit ribosomal RNA
Source: RNAcentral
GACGAACGCUGGCGGCGUGCUUAACACAUGCAAGUCGAACGGAAAGGCCCUGCUUUUGUGGGGUGCUCGAGUGGCGAACGGGUGAGUAACACGUGAGUAACCUGCCCUUGACUUUGGGAUAACUUCUGCAAACUGGGGCUAAUACCGGCUAGGAGCUCCUGCUGCAUGGUGGGGGUUGGAAAGUUUCGGCGGUUGGGGAUGGACUCGCGGCUUAUCAGCUUGUUGGUGGGGUAGUGGCUUACCAAGGCUUUGACGGGUAGCCGGCCUGAGAGGGUGACCGGCCACAUUGGGACUGAGAUACGGCCCAGACUCCUACGGGAGGCAGCAGUGGGGAAUAUUGCACAAUGGGCGGAAGCCUGAUGCAGCAACGCCGCGUGCGGGAUGACGGCCUUCGGGUUGUAAACCGCUUUCGCCUGUGACGAAGCGUGAGUGACGGUAAUGGGUAAAGAAGCACCGGCUAACUACGUG